AGAGAGCUUGCUCUCGGGUGACGAGUGGCGGACGGGUGAGUAAUGUCUGGGGAUCUGCCCGAUAGAGGGGGAUAACCACUGGAAACGGUAGCUAAUACCGCAUAACGUCGCAAGACCAAAGAGGGGGACCUUCGGGCCUCUUGCCAUCAGAUGUGCCCAGAUGGGAUUAGCUAGUAGGUGGGGUAACGGCCCACCUAGGCGACGAUCCCUAGCUGGUCUGAGAGGAUGACCAGCCACACUGGAACUGAGACACGGUCCAGACUCC
RNAcentral lists this ribosomal RNA (265 nucleotides) under uncultured Enterobacteriaceae bacterium. Its description in RNAcentral is "partial 16S ribosomal RNA". It matches the Rfam family "Bacterial small subunit ribosomal RNA", at positions 73 to 339 of the family's 1533-position model. Lineage: Bacteria; Pseudomonadati; Pseudomonadota; Gammaproteobacteria; Enterobacterales; Enterobacteriaceae. The record is from RNAcentral.